GUCGCGGCCACGCCGUUAAACCCCAACUUCUGAAUGUUGACCUCGGAUCAGGUAGGAAUACCCGCUGAACUUAAGCAUAUCAAUAAGCG
RNAcentral lists this ribosomal RNA (89 nucleotides) under Fusarium oxysporum. RNAcentral's name for it is "partial 28Sribosomal RNA". The record is from RNAcentral. Lineage: Eukaryota; Fungi; Ascomycota; Sordariomycetes; Hypocreales; Nectriaceae.